AUUGAACGCUGGCGGCAGGCCUAACACAUGCAAGUCGAACGGUAACAGGAAGAAGCUUGCUUCUUUGCUGACGAGUGGCGGACGGGUGAGUAAUGUCUGUGAAACUGCCUGAUGGAGGGGGAUAACUACUGGAAACGGUAGCUAAUACCGCAUAACGUCGCAAGACCAAAGAGGGGGACCUUCGGGCCUCUUGCCAUCGGAUGUGCCCAGAUGGGAUUAGCUAGUAGGUGGGGUAACGGCUCACCUAGGCGACGAUCCCUAGCUGGUCUGAGAGGAUGACCAGCCACACUGGAACUGAGACACGGUCCAGACUCCUACGGGAGGCAGCAGUGGGGAAUAUUGCACAAUGGGCGCAAGCCUGAUGCAGCCAUGCCGCGUGUAUGAAGAAGGCCUUCGGGUUGUAAAGUACUUUCGGCGGGGAGGAAGGGAGUAAAGUUAAUACCUUUGCUCAUUGACGUUACCCGCAGAAGAAGCACCGGCUAACUCCGUG
This 490-nucleotide ribosomal RNA is filed under the name uncultured bacterium. RNAcentral describes it as "partial 16S ribosomal RNA". It matches the Rfam family "Bacterial small subunit ribosomal RNA", at positions 30 to 507 of the family's 1533-position model. The record is from RNAcentral.